CUGCAGGCUGAGCAAAUGGGCCUACGGUGGAGCCGAUGAUGUCCCCUAUAAGGCCUGGUGAAAGAACUGGUCCAGAUGGUGUAACUUCCCACUCAAGAAGAUGAGGAGAGGAAAAGUGUUCAGCGAGAAAAAGGAGUACACAGGACAUCAUAGCAUGGCCUUGGUAACUGAAGCUGCUUCCUUGCCCUUCCCCACUGCUGAUGGGAUCCUUUAAGCUGGGACUUUGGCCCUAAAACUCCAGAAACAGAUCUUCUAUCUCCUCCAGCUUUGGUGCUGCUUCCACAGGAUGGAGCCACCUCCCAGGAGCAGAGGAUGCCACUUCUGUUUCAGAGCAAAGGUUAAUAACGCAAGAGAAAAUCACCAACGUACACAACUCUGAUGUUGUGGCUUUGCCUUUAUUAAAAAUGGGAACAAGCCAAGGAGAGUCCUGAUGAAAGCUGAGAUAAUUAAUGUGGUUGGAAAGAGGCAAGAAUCCAAGUAGAUCCAGAUACAAAAGCAAAGUUAAUGGCCUGAGCUAAAAUGCUAACGCCAGUGAGUUAGGGGCCAGCCAGCAUUAUACAAAUUUCCAGAGUGGUUUAGUGAAUCAGUAGAGCCUGCUGCCUCCCCUGCAUUGUAUAGAGCUGAUUGUACAGGGCUCAAACAGCUGACACGGGAGCUUUCAGCAAGCUGGUUUUAGAAAAGGACAUCGUUUUGGAGGGGAGGUGAAUGUGGUAGCCAGCUUUUCCAGGCCCCUUUGCUGCUGCUGUUGUUUUUGAGAUCCACAUUUGAGAUCACAGAUGGAUGUGCUAUCGAUACAGGCUGAAACUCUGUCUGGCCAGAGACAGUCAACGGUGGAGGGGUAGUUAGGGUGGGAGGAAACAGCAAACAAUCCCGAUUUUCAGCUCAAAGAAGUUUCAGGAACCAGAUCCAGAGAUGAAACCCUGGAGAGGGAAAGGAGAGAGGCAGAGCUGGAAGAAAACUAUUGCAGCCCCUUGCUUGGGACCUGAGGCCUGAGGCAGCCUGGCACAAGGAGCAAUAUUUUCAUGGGUCCCUACCAGUGCACAGAUUCC
This 1049-nucleotide long non-coding RNA is filed under the name Heterocephalus glaber (naked mole-rat). Its description in RNAcentral is "lncRNA (ENSHGLG00100040143.1)". Lineage: Eukaryota; Metazoa; Chordata; Mammalia; Rodentia; Bathyergidae. The record is from RNAcentral.